UAGUAUAUCUAUAUCUAGGAUGUAGGGUGCUCUAGGGUACCUUCUCCGCCAAACCUUGCAAAUUUGAACUUAAUAGUUACCUUGGUAGGCUUAACUGCCUGUGGAUAAAUCUAAAUUCUUUAAUAAACUGGCUGUAAUUAAUGCAACUGUCUGAAAUAAUGUUAAUAUUA
This 170-nucleotide unclassified non-coding RNA is filed under the name uncultured Zalerion. Its description in RNAcentral is "sequence contains ITS1". Lineage: Eukaryota; Fungi; Ascomycota. The record is from RNAcentral.